This 1359-nucleotide long non-coding RNA is filed under the name Macaca fascicularis (crab-eating macaque). RNAcentral describes it as "lncRNA (ENSMFAG00000062077.1)". The record is from RNAcentral. Lineage: Eukaryota; Metazoa; Chordata; Mammalia; Primates; Cercopithecidae.
UUUUUUUUUUUUUUUUUUUAAAUGCAUUUUUAGUAGAGACGGAGUUUCACCAUGUUGGUCAGGUUGAUCUCGAACUCCUGACCUCAGUUGAUCAGAAGUAGGUGAGGUCAGAAAACAUACCCUGGGAGAGGCCGGCACAAUGCUCAGAACCACCAUCGCUAGCCCUGGGGUUUUCUUCUGUAGUGGAAUUCAUGUAUGCAGGGACAAAACCACUCAGAUACUUCUGGGAGUUAAAAAGAGAUGCAUUUACAGUGCAAUUUGAGAAGGGGUAUUAAGGAAUUUGCCAGGGUACUGACCCGUGUCAGGUGUACACCGCAGGUUGAGAGAGGGCUAAAUAGUUUCUGCCCAUGAAGGUGAUAAGCGAGGGCCUGAAGAAAGAGGGACACGGGAGGACACUGGCACCAGAAAUAGGAAAGGGCUGCUUGGAGGUGGGAAGGAUGGGUCGGGGUGCUAUCUAGAAAGUUGCCUGGCAAUGGAUGUAGGAUGUGUAAGCGAGACCUCAAACAAGAAGCUGUCGCUUAAAUAAAGUCUGAAGAAAGACAAGAUAGGUAAACGGCAGGAGCUAGUAGGAAACUGGACCCGGCUCCACAUAAAACUUCCCGCCUUAUACUUCAGGGAGGAUCGCAGCGCAUUUCGGCCAAGACAGGUUCUGACCUGCGGGCCUGGAUGAAUAUGGGCUAGGGCAGCUGGGCACCGGCAGAGCCGUUUCCCUACGCAAAGUAAGCGUGUUAUGUCUACAACCCAACGGGGACAGUAGAGCCCCAAAGGCCUUGCUUUCUUCCCAAAGAACAGCCCCCGUCUACGUAGUUUCUACCUGGCUCUAGGAGGUGAGAACACAUUCCCCGAUAGCACAGAAAUCCUACAAACGCGUGUGGGAGCUGCCGUUAGAAACAGAGGCUGUGUAAAAAGUGACUGGGGGUUAGAAAAACACAGAGAAUGAGAACCCAAGAGACUGGAGACUUUGGACCAAUCUCUGCAAAAAGCUGGUCCUUAGAAAGGAAAGAGCUGUGCGGUCCUCACUCAAGUUAGCUUGUGUUACAACCGCUGACGCUCAUAUCAGUUCUGGUAGAGAAGCGACAUGUUAUUUCCUAUUCCCAAGUCAUCCACUGUUAAAACUACACUUGGAAAGCUACCCGAAACUACAAACCAACAGACGAAAGAAAUAACCCUUACUGUACAGUCUAUUCUUUAAACACAAAAGUCAGGGAAAGCGCGAACGCAGUCCCCCACUACCACAAAUUAUGCAGUCGAGUUUCCCACAUUUGGGGAAAUCGCAGGGGUCAGCACAUCCGGAGUGCAAUGGAUAAGCCUCGCCCUGGGAAAACCACCUUCGUGAUCAUGGUAUCUCCCCUGCCAGGU